UGGGGAAUCUUGCGCAAUGGGGGAAACCCUGACGCAGCGACGCCGCGUGCGGGAUGAAGGCCUUCGGGUUGUAAACCGCUUUCAGCAGGGACGAGGCCUUAUGGUGACGGUACCUGCAGAAGAAGCUCCGGCUAAAUACGUGCCAGCAGCCGCGGUAAUACGUAUGGAGCAAGCGUUAUCCGGAUUCAUUGGGCGUAAAGCGCUCGUAGGCGGUCUGUUAGGUCGGCAAGUUAAAUCCGGGGGCUCAACCCCCGUCCGCUUCCGAUACCGGCAGACUUGAGUUUUGUAGGGGAAGGUGGAAUUCCUAGUGUAGCGGUGGAAUGCGCAGAUAUUAGGAAGAACACCGGUGGCGAAGGCGGCCUUCUGGGCCAUAACUGACGCUGAGGGGCGAAAGCUAGGGGAGCGAACAGG
This 411-nucleotide ribosomal RNA is filed under the name Verrucomicrobiota bacterium. RNAcentral describes it as "Verrucomicrobia bacterium partial 16S ribosomal RNA". It matches the Rfam family "Bacterial small subunit ribosomal RNA", at positions 355 to 776 of the family's 1533-position model. The record is from RNAcentral. Lineage: Bacteria; Pseudomonadati; Verrucomicrobiota.